CAGGUUAGGCCAUGUUAUCUCUCUGAAGGGUCCUGAUGGAGGCACUAUCUACUGAUAGGGGCCUCCACAGGUUCAUUGGGUUCAGUCCCACAGCUGAAGAGUUUCUUCUUCCU
Long non-coding RNA from Mugil cephalus (flathead mullet), 113 nucleotides. RefSeq lists it as uncharacterized. The record is from RefSeq and is a predicted model, not a curated record. The transcript has 2 exons. Lineage: Eukaryota; Metazoa; Chordata; Actinopteri; Mugiliformes; Mugilidae.